RNAcentral lists this transfer-messenger RNA (368 nucleotides) under Chitinophagales. RNAcentral's name for it is "UBA7236 sp016718035 Standard tmRNA". It matches the Rfam family "transfer-messenger RNA". Rfam says of the family: Bacterial tmRNA, also known as 10Sa RNA or SsrA, is named for its dual tRNA and mRNA-like properties. Its role is to liberate the mRNA from a stalled ribosome. To accomplish this part of the tmRNA is used as a reading frame that ends in a translation stop signal. Lineage: Bacteria; Pseudomonadati; Bacteroidota; Chitinophagia. RNAcentral also lists the same sequence under 1 other name. The record is from RNAcentral.
GGGGUUGACAGGAAUCGACAGCAUCGUUCAUUGACAGGUAAGCAUGCAGCGCAUUGUAGAUUUGGCGCUUUAAUCUCAAACUACGAAACAAUUUUUACACGGCGAGUCUAACUACGCCAUGGCAGCUUAAUUCAGAGAAUUAAGUAGCCUUCGUUCCCGAUGUUGGUUGUCCGGUACAACUUCGGUGAACGUCAUCUCAUCGGGCUGGCUUUACUAAUUUCCGGAGUAAAGUGAGAUAAAGGAAAUAAGGAGGUUCUCAGGUUCGGUGUUUCACCCUGAACUUCCCGACAAACAAGAAGCAUCUAAGCAUGUAGAAAGCUUGCUAAUGCUUUGUCUGGACGUGGGUUCAAAUCCCACCAACUCCACUU